This 365-nucleotide ribosomal RNA is filed under the name uncultured Geobacillus sp. Its description in RNAcentral is "bacterial SSU rRNA". It matches the Rfam family "Bacterial small subunit ribosomal RNA", at positions 1014 to 1382 of the family's 1533-position model. The record is from RNAcentral. Lineage: Bacteria; Bacillati; Bacillota; Bacilli; Caryophanales; Anoxybacillaceae.
CCCCUUCGGGGGACAGGGUGACAGGUGGUGCAUGGUUGUCGUCAGCUCGUGUCGUGAGAUGUUGGGUUAAGUCCCGCAACGAGCGCAACCCUCGCCUCUAGUUGCCAGCAUUCGGUUGGGCACUCUAGAGGGACUGCCGGCGACAAGUCGGAGGAAGUGGGAUGACGUCAAAUCAUCAUGCCCCUUAUGACCUGGGCUACACACGUGCUACAAUGGGCGGUACAAAGGGCUGCGAACCCGCGAGGGGGAGCGAAUCCCAAAAAGCCGCUCUCAGUUCGGAUUGCAGGCUGCAACUCGCCUGCAUGAAGCCGGAAUCGCUAGUAAUCGCGGAUCAGCAUGCCGCGGUGAAUACGUUCCCGGGCCUU